GCUUGUUUAUUUCACUCCAGUCCCACAGGUGGCGCUGCUUGCUGUGUCACAGACGAACACAGCGCGGGAGAGUUUGGCUGAAGUAACUGGAAAUGUUGCUUAGAAAUAUACAUUGUUAUUCAACACGUAUAGACAGGCUGUGAGUUAUUAAAGCUUUUAGAGGAAUAUGAAGUGCUGAAUGAAAUGCAGAGAGAGACAGCGCGACAUUCAUUUCAGCGUGAGCGGUUAAUGUGUGCUUUGUGCGUCGUUACGGAUGAAAGGAAGCUAUAAUGGGUGACAGGACUCUACCUGAAUGGAUGAACAAACCUCAGGAAGAACAUACACCAGGACCCUAUAAAAAGAGCAUUCUGGAGGAUGGUCUUCCUUAUCUGGAGUUUGGAGGAACAGUCAUAUACAGCCAGGAAAGACACGACUGCUCAUUUUUAUCAGAAGAUUUAAGGUAAUAUAUUUGGCUGAAUCUCUUAAAAGCAUGCUUAGGUAAUUCCCCCAAAACCCAU
RNAcentral lists this long non-coding RNA (497 nucleotides) under Sinocyclocheilus grahami. RNAcentral's name for it is "lncRNA (ENSSGRG00000042175.1)". Lineage: Eukaryota; Metazoa; Chordata; Actinopteri; Cypriniformes; Cyprinidae. The record is from RNAcentral.